RNAcentral lists this ribosomal RNA (441 nucleotides) under uncultured Prevotella sp. RNAcentral describes it as "bacterial SSU rRNA". It matches the Rfam family "Bacterial small subunit ribosomal RNA", at positions 355 to 794 of the family's 1533-position model. Lineage: Bacteria; Pseudomonadati; Bacteroidota; Bacteroidia; Bacteroidales; Prevotellaceae. The record is from RNAcentral.
UGAGGAAUAUUGGUCAAUGGGCGAAAGCCUGAACCAGCCAAGUAGCGUGAGGGAUGACUGCCCUAUGGGUUGUAAACCUCUUUUAUAAGGGAAUAAAAUACGGGACGUGUCCUGUUUUGCAUGUACCUUAUGAAUAAGGACCGGCUAAUUCCGUGCCAGCAGCCGCGGUAAUACGGAAGGUCCGGGCGUUAUCCGGAUUUAUUGGGUUUAAAGGGAGCGUAGGCGGAGAGAUAAGUCAGCGGUAAAAUCGUGCGGCUCAACCGUACCUCGCCGUUGAUACUGUUUUUCUUGAGUGCACACAGGGAUGCUGGAAUUCGUCGUGUAGCGGUGAAAUGCUUAGAUAUGACGAAGGACUCCGAUCGCGAAGGCAGGUGUCCGGGGUGCAACUGACGCUGAGGCUCGAAAGUGCGGGUAUCAAACAGGAUUAGAUACCCUGGUAGU